GUACCGAUUUUUCGCAUGGCCGGCGCUCUUUCUCGUAAUUAAUAUGCACAAGUUCGAGAUAUAAUGCACGCAUCAACAGCUUGAAGAAACCAUUCCAAGGUGUUCACCAGAGCCAUAAUCAGUGAUGGCACUGAGCAGGAAAUACAAACCUGUAUAAUACCAGGAGCAGGAGUGGGCACAACUGCAGUGGAAGCAGCAGCUGAUUCGUCCUCAUCAUCUUCGCCUUCACAGUGAUCAGCAAUAGUGGAAGGUGGUUUGGCUGGUGAGGAA
Molecule: long non-coding RNA, 270 nt
Organism: Schistocerca serialis cubense
Lineage: Eukaryota; Metazoa; Arthropoda; Insecta; Orthoptera; Acrididae
Exons: 3
Source: RefSeq, a predicted model, not a curated record